RNAcentral lists this ribosomal RNA (393 nucleotides) under uncultured bacterium. RNAcentral describes it as "bacterial SSU rRNA". It matches the Rfam family "Bacterial small subunit ribosomal RNA", at positions 30 to 423 of the family's 1533-position model. The record is from RNAcentral.
AUUGAACGCUGGCGGCAUGCCUUACACAUGCAAGUCGAACGGUAACAGCACUUCGGUGGCUGACGAGUGGCGAACGGGUGAGUAAUACAUCGGAACGUGCCCGAGAGUGGGGGAUAACGCAGCGAAAGCUGUGCUAAUACCGCAUACGAUCUACGGAUGAAAGCAGGGGAUUCGCAAGGACCUUGCGCUCAUGGAGCGGCCGAUGGCAGAUUAGGUAGUUGGUGGGAUAAAAGCUUACCAAGCCGACGAUCUGUAGCUGGUCUGAGAGGACGACCAGCCACACUGGGACUGAGACACGGCCCAGACUCCUACGGGAGGCAGCAGUGGGGAAUUUUGGACAAUGGGCGAAAGCCUGAUCCAGCCAUGCCGCGUGCAGGAUGAAGGCCUUCGGUU